RNAcentral lists this long non-coding RNA (217 nucleotides) under Ananas comosus (pineapple). Its description in RNAcentral is "long non-coding RNA (ACOM_LNC022155)". The record is from RNAcentral. Lineage: Eukaryota; Viridiplantae; Streptophyta; Magnoliopsida; Poales; Bromeliaceae.
AUGGCACCAUCUAUUCUUUUUCUCUCUUCUCUCUCUCUUUCCCCACCCGACGCCCUCUUAUCCUCCCUUCCCAUCCCACCCAAUGUCCUCUCAUGCUCCCAACCCUCUUCCUAUCCGACGUCCCCUCAUCUCCCUCACCCUUCUUCUAUUCGACGUUCAUUUAUCUUCUCCCCCACCCCGAAACCCGACAUCCCCUCAUCUUCUCCUCUAUCCCACC